UAGCCCAAGAGAUCGGGAUAACACCUGGAAACAGAUGCUAAUACCGGAUAACAACAGAUGAUGCCUAUCAACUGUUUAAAAGAUGGUUCUGCUAUCACUCUUGGAUGGACCUGCGGUGCAUUAGCUAGUUGGUAGGGUAACGGCCUACCAAGGCGAUGAUGCAUAGCCGAGUUGAGAGACUGAUCGACCACAUUGGGACUGAGACACGGCCCAAACUCCUACGGGAGGCAGCAGUC
This 236-nucleotide ribosomal RNA is filed under the name uncultured Lactobacillus sp. RNAcentral describes it as "partial 16S ribosomal RNA". It matches the Rfam family "Bacterial small subunit ribosomal RNA", at positions 126 to 355 of the family's 1533-position model. The record is from RNAcentral. Lineage: Bacteria; Bacillati; Bacillota; Bacilli; Lactobacillales; Lactobacillaceae.